RNAcentral lists this ribosomal RNA (401 nucleotides) under uncultured bacterium. RNAcentral's name for it is "bacterial SSU rRNA". It matches the Rfam family "Bacterial small subunit ribosomal RNA", at positions 28 to 419 of the family's 1533-position model. The record is from RNAcentral.
GAUGAACGCUGGCGGCGUGCCUAAUACAUGCAAGUCGAACGCACAGCGAAAGGUGCUUGCACCUUUCAAGUGAGUGGCGAACGGGUGAGUAACACGUGGAUAACCUACCUCAAGGUUGGGGAUAACAUUUGGAAACAGAUGCUAAUACCGAAUAAAACUUCGUAUCGCAUGAUACAAGGUUAAAAGGCGCUACGGCGUCACCUAGAGAUGGAUCCGCGGUGCAUUAGUUAGUUGGUGGGUAAAGGCCUACCAAGACAAUGAUGCAUAGCCGAGUUGAGAGACUGAUCGGCCACAUUGGGACUGAGACACGGCCCAAACUCCUACGGGAGGCUGCAGUAGGGAAUCUUCCACAAUGGGCGAAAGCCUGAUGGAGCAACGCCGCGUGUGUGAUGAAGGCUUUC